This 68-nucleotide transfer RNA is filed under the name Mesechinus dauuricus (Daurian hedgehog). RNAcentral's name for it is "tRNA-Cys". It matches the Rfam family "tRNA". Rfam says of the family: Transfer RNA (tRNA) molecules are approximately 80 nucleotides in length. Their secondary structure includes four short double-helical elements and three loops (D, anti-codon, and T loops). Lineage: Eukaryota; Metazoa; Chordata; Mammalia; Eulipotyphla; Erinaceidae. The record is from RNAcentral. RNAcentral also lists the same sequence under 4 other names.
AGUCCUGUAGUGUAUUAACAUGUUGAAUUGCAAAUUCUAAGAAGCAGAUAUAAUUGCUGCCGGGGCUU